RNAcentral lists this ribosomal RNA (776 nucleotides) under uncultured Neocallimastigales. Its description in RNAcentral is "partial large subunit ribosomal RNA". It matches the Rfam family "Eukaryotic large subunit ribosomal RNA", at positions 23 to 645 of the family's 3401-position model. Lineage: Eukaryota; Fungi; Neocallimastigomycota; Neocallimastigomycetes; Neocallimastigales. The record is from RNAcentral.
AGAGAGAGACAUGCGCGCAUAUCAAUAAGCGGAGGAAAAGAAACUAACAAGGAUUCCCUUAGUAACGGCGAGUGAAGCGGGAAGAGCUCAAAUUUGAAAUCUUCAAGGUUUUACCUUGACGAAUUGUAGUUUAAAGAAGUGUUUUCUGCUGAAGUUUUGGUAAAAGUUCUUUGGAAUAGGACAUCAUAGAGGGUGAGAAUCCCGUAUUUGACCAUUAUUUUCAGCUUUGUGAUACACUUUCAAAGAGUCGGAUUGUUUGGGAAUGCAGUCCCAAAAUGGGUGGUAAAUUUCAUCUAAAGCUAAAUAUUGGCGAGAGACCGAUAGCGAACAAGUACCGUGAGGGAAAGAUGAAAAGAACUUUGAAAAGAGAGUUAAACAGUACGUGAAAUUGUCAAAAGGGAAGCGUUUGACACCAGUGUUGUUUUCUCGAAAAUCAAUUAAAAAUUGGCUCGAUUUUGUAUUGUUGAGACCUUAAAAGCUCACUGUACAUUUUUCGUGUCUUUUUUAAUGCACUUUUCGUUUAACAAGUCAACAUCAGUUUCUUUUGUUGUAAAAGGGUCAUUGGAAGGUGGCUUUCUUUUCGGAGAAAGUGUUUAUAGCCUUUGGCCUCUGCAAUCGGAGAGACUGAGGUCUGCAGCGUAGACUCUUCGGGGUUAGAUACAUUUGUGCUAAGUUAUAGCUUUUUAUAGACAACUUGUUGACUAUAAUUAGUCUUGUAGCUUACUCGCUUAUGCUAUUUUACCUACGCUUAGGAUGUUGAAGUCAUCGUAUCGCGC